GCACCACAAGAACGCGUGGAGCAUGUGGCUUAAUUUGACUCAACGCGGGAAAUCUUACCGGGUCCGGACACACUGAGGAUUGACAGGCAAUAUCUCAUGGUUAUUAACCGGUAUUUAUUUAAUCGGUUAUUAAGCAUCAGUGUUAAAUAUGCUAGUCCUUUCAUGAUUAUGUGAUAGGUGGUGCAUGGCCGUUCUUAGUUCGUGGAGUGAUCUGUCUGCUUAAUUGCGUUUCACUAAGGGCCCAUAAAUUCAAGGUAUGUUAGCUAUCGUCGCUCUAUGGACCCCUUAUACUCGAUUUCGCUUUAAUUAGCGUUAUUUGUUUAAUAAGCGCGCGUCUUUAUUUAAAGAGUUUAAGACACUGCGCAUGCUG
This 370-nucleotide ribosomal RNA is filed under the name Neogloboquadrina pachyderma. RNAcentral's name for it is "partial 18S ribosomal RNA". It matches the Rfam family "Eukaryotic small subunit ribosomal RNA", at positions 1164 to 1443 of the family's 1831-position model. The record is from RNAcentral. Lineage: Eukaryota; Foraminifera; Rotaliida; Globorotaliidae.